This 449-nucleotide ribosomal RNA is filed under the name uncultured bacterium. Its description in RNAcentral is "bacterial SSU rRNA". It matches the Rfam family "Bacterial small subunit ribosomal RNA", at positions 28 to 481 of the family's 1533-position model. The record is from RNAcentral.
GACGAACGCUGGCGGCGUGCCUAACACAUGCAAGUCGAGCGGGGAACGGACGGUAGCUUGCUACUGUUUGUUUCUAGCGGCGGACGGGUGAGUAACGCGUGAGCAACCUGCCUUUAUCAGGGGGAUAACGCAUCGAAAGAUGUGCUAAUACCGCGUAAGACCACAGCUUCACAUGGAGCGGGGGUCAAAGGAGCAAUCCGGAUAAAGAUGGGCUCGCGUCCGAUUAGCUAGUUGGUGAGAUAACAGCCCACCAAGGCGACGAUCGGUAGCCGACCUGAGAGGGUGAUCGGCCACAUUGGAACUGAGAGACGGUCCAGACUCCUACGGGAGGCAGCAGUGGGGAAUAUUGGGCAAUGGGCGAAAGCCUGACCCAGCAACGCCGCGUGAGGGAAGAAGGGUUUCGGCUCGUAAACCUCUGUCCUAUGGGACGAAGGAAGUGACGGUACCAU